This 254-nucleotide long non-coding RNA is filed under the name Physcomitrium patens. RNAcentral describes it as "long non-coding RNA (PPAT_LNC013048)". Lineage: Eukaryota; Viridiplantae; Streptophyta; Bryopsida; Funariales; Funariaceae. The record is from RNAcentral.
AGGUUUUGAUUAGGAUUUGGUUUAGGUUUAGUAUUUUCUUAGAAUUUAGGAUUUAGGUUUUAUUUAGGAUUUACUUAGGAUUUUGUUAAGAUUUGGUUAGGAUUUAGAUUUGAACUAGGAUUUAGGGUUUGAUUUAGGAUUUGUAUAGGAUUGAAGAUUUAGGAUUUAGAAUUUGCUUAGGAUCAAAGAUUUGGUCUAAAGUUUGAUUGUAUUCCAUUAGAAUUUCAAUUAAGGUUAAAUUAGGACUUAGUUGA